Potamilus streckersoni is the source of this 75-nucleotide non-coding RNA. Lineage: Eukaryota; Metazoa; Mollusca; Bivalvia; Unionida; Unionidae. The record is from the annotation of a GenBank genome assembly.
AGCUCCUGUCGCCUAAGUGGUUAGAGCGUCCGCCUCAGAUGCAGGAGGUCGCAGGUUCCAAACCCGGCCGAGUCA